ACAAACCGACCUUAGCUCAGUUGGUAGAGCGGAGGACUGUAGUCGUUGCAGAUAAAUCCUUAGGUCACUGGUUCGAAUCCGGUAGGUCGGAUAUUUCUU
This 99-nucleotide transfer RNA is filed under the name Triticum aestivum (bread wheat). RNAcentral's name for it is "pTtY1". The stretch from base 6 to 91 matches the Rfam family "tRNA". From Rfam's summary of the family: Transfer RNA (tRNA) molecules are approximately 80 nucleotides in length. Their secondary structure includes four short double-helical elements and three loops (D, anti-codon, and T loops). Further hydrogen bonds mediate the characteristic L-shaped molecular structure. tRNAs have two regions of fundamental functional importance: the anti-codon, which is responsible for specific mRNA codon recognition, and the 3' end, to which the tRNAs corresponding amino acid is attached (by aminoacyl-tRNA synthetases). tRNAs cope with the degeneracy of the genetic code in two manners: having more than one tRNA (with a specific anti-codon) for a particular amino acid; and 'wobble' base-pairing, i.e. permitting non-standard base-pairing at the 3rd anti-codon position. Lineage: Eukaryota; Viridiplantae; Streptophyta; Magnoliopsida; Poales; Poaceae. The record is from RNAcentral.